UCUAUAUCGAUGUUUACACGCUGUCCUUGAGAUGGUUACGGAUUGCGCAUCUAAAUCACCAAGUAGUCAUUAGCGUCCCAGUGAAUUUUCUGGUAUUAUAUUGAACAUAUAUUAGACAGCCAGUGCCUCACAGCACGGAACCGGAAACUGAAUGACUGAUUCUAAAUAGGGACAUUGUGAGAGCCAUUCGUAGACGCGUACUUGCGUUCUCCGACGUUCUGAACAGCAUGUGCUUUUUGGGUGUUUUGUUCUGUUGACCUGGAGUCAGUCCCCGCAUGAAUCCUGCGGCCCCACUAUAUGAAGUCGCUGAAUCUCGGAGGGAAUAUCUAGGAACAGAUUCCCCCCUGUCUCCUGCUUCGAUCUCCUUACACUGCUGCAGGGGCUUGUCCGUCUUCCCUUGCACAUGUGUGUCUGAAGCGACACUUUUUAGCAUCGAACGCAGAUUCCCGUGCAUCUACCGUGUAGCCAAUACACUAUGGCGCUGUUUCUAGAUCUGACUGAGGGAAUGCAGUUUAAGGAAACGAGCGGCAUGUCCGAGCAGCUUCGUCGCGACAGAUCUGAUGCUGCUGUUGUCAGUACGCAAGUCUUCCUCGACACCCGCUUCUACUGGUGACCUCGGUAAUCUCUCGCGUUGAGCGCCUUCACUUUCCCUCUGGUGACAUGUUGUCGAUCGUCCGUCCACGCAGGUAGGCGAUGUGAAACUCUCUCGGUCAUCGGCGCACGCUGCGUAGUUUUGCUAUACUCCCGGUGCAUCUUGGUAGGCUUGUAUGUCUUAAACUUUUCCAGAAGGAACCAUCGUACUCCGACGGUACGGCAGGACUAAAUGGAGUGACAAAAAGUGUCCUGAAAAGGGAAACUGCUAGCACACAUGUGGUUGUGCCACAACGUCCGCCUCGCUCAGAGAACCACACGAACUUUACCUGUUACUCAUUAUCAUUCGGAGUACAGCGAUAUUGGUCCUGAAGACAGGUUGUCUCUGAA
Molecule: long non-coding RNA, 981 nt
Filed under: Toxoplasma gondii VEG
Lineage: Eukaryota; Apicomplexa; Conoidasida; Eucoccidiorida; Sarcocystidae
Source: RNAcentral